CUUGGUCCCAGGGGCAGCUUGGACUACAGUUAGGAAGUCACUGGGCCCACCCCGAGGACUGCAGGACUCCAUGCAGGACAGCUUAUGCUGUGCCAUUUUCCAAGAAGCAUGGGUCCUCAGGAUCAGGCCAACCAGAUCAAGUUCCUGAAAGCCAUGAGCCUCUGGAAACUCUCUGCACUUCACCCCACCAACAGAGCCAUGAAGAGCCCUCUGCACCCCUCCCAGCUUUGCAGCCAACUUUGCCCCUCCCCCCUGAUGUGCCAACCCCUCCUUCUUCAAGGAAAUCCCUCUGCCCCAUGCCUCCAAGGAGGUCAGUCCAGACUGGAAAUCACAGGCAGGAGCACCAGGUGGAUAGCCCCCUGCCUCUGUCCCCUCCAAGAACUGUGAUUCUCACCCCACCCCAAACCCAACCCUACAGCCCCCAGGUCAAGCAUCCACUGCUGGACCUGUCCAACAACA
This 459-nucleotide long non-coding RNA is filed under the name Rattus norvegicus (Norway rat). RNAcentral describes it as "long non-coding RNA NONRATT008836". The record is from RNAcentral. Lineage: Eukaryota; Metazoa; Chordata; Mammalia; Rodentia; Muridae.